GACGAACGCUGGCGGCGUGCCUAAUACAUGCAAGUAGAACGCUGAAGGAGGAGCUUGCUUCUCUGGAUGAGUUGCGAACGGGUGAGUAACGCGUAGGUAACCUGCCUGGUAGCGGGGGAUAACUAUUGGAAACGAUAGCUAAUACCGCAUAAGAGUAGAUGUUGCAUGACCUUUGCUUAAAAGGUGCAAUUGCAUCACUACCAGAUGGACCUGCGUUGUAUUAGCUAGUUGGUGGGGUAACGGCUUACCAAGGCGACGAUACAUAGCCGACCUGAGAGGGUGAUCGGCCACACUGGGACUGAGACACGGCCCAGACUCCUACGGGAGGCAGCAGUAGGGAAUCUUCGGCAAUGGACGGAAGUCUGACCGAGCAACGCCGCGUGAGUGAAGAAGGUUUUCGGAUCGUAAAGCUCUGUUGUAAGAGAAGAACGAGUGUGAGAGUGGAAAGUUCACACUGUGACGGUAUCUUACCAGAAAGGGACGGCUAACUACGUG
Molecule: ribosomal RNA, 495 nt
Filed under: uncultured bacterium
Lineage: Bacteria
Description: partial 16S ribosomal RNA
Rfam family: Bacterial small subunit ribosomal RNA
Source: RNAcentral